UGGGCACUCAUACCAGACUGCCGCAGCAAUGUGGAGGAAGGUGGGGAGUGACGUCAAGUCAGCAUGCCCCGUACGCCCUGGGCUACACACAUACUACAAUGCAGAGUGCAGACGGAUGCCAAGCCGUGAGGUGGAGCUAAUCCGCGAAGGCUCUGCUCAGUGCAGAUUGCAGGCUGCAACUCGCCUGCAUGAAGGCGGAAUCGCUAGUAACCGUCGGUCAGCAUUACCGACGGUCGAAUACGUUCCCGGGCCUU
This 254-nucleotide ribosomal RNA is filed under the name uncultured Deinococcota bacterium. Its description in RNAcentral is "uncultured Thermus/Deinococcus group bacterium partial 16S ribosomal RNA". It matches the Rfam family "Bacterial small subunit ribosomal RNA", at positions 1132 to 1382 of the family's 1533-position model. Lineage: Bacteria; Thermotogati; Deinococcota. The record is from RNAcentral.